GGGCCCGCACAAGCGGUGGAGCAUGUGGUUUAAUUCGAUGAUACGCGAGGAACCUUACCAGGACUUAAAUGUAAGUUGCAUGAUUCAGAAAUGAAUCUUUCUUCGGACUACUUACAAGGUGCUGCAUGGUUGUCGUCAGCUCGUGCCGUGAGGUGUCAGGUUAAGUCCUAUAACGAGCGCAACCCCUAUCGUUAGUUGCCAUCAAGUAAAGUUGGGAACUCUAGCGAAACUGCCGGUGCAAACCGUGAGGAAGGUGGGGAUGACGUCAAAUCAUCACGGCCCUUACGUUCUGGGCUACACACGUGCUACAAUGGCCGGUACAGAAAGCAGCCACUAUGCGAAUAGGAGCUAAUCUACAAACCAUAUCACAGUUCGGAUCGGAGUCUGCAACUCGACUCCGUGAAGCUGGAAUC
This 413-nucleotide ribosomal RNA is filed under the name uncultured bacterium. RNAcentral's name for it is "bacterial SSU rRNA". It matches the Rfam family "Bacterial small subunit ribosomal RNA", at positions 917 to 1333 of the family's 1533-position model. The record is from RNAcentral.